AACUUAUGUGUGAAGGCUAUGCUCUACUUGAUCGUGUCUAUAUCUUUAUUAGAUUUCCAUGUUUAAAUCUUGUGGCUAAAGCUCUUUUAGGCUAAUUCUGAAUCAGCUUGAUCUUGAAAGUCUUUUGUAAUAGUUCACUAUCUUAUGAGGGUCAAUCCUGUCACUUUAGGUUUAUUUCUAACAAUACAAGCUUGAACCUUCCUUGUAAACUUGUCGGUAUUUCAUGUGAUCUUAUCCAUAUGUUUUGGUUAUAAAUGUUGAUUAGUUAUAGCUUUAGGAGUUGAGUGUGAAAAGUUAUUUAGUUAAUUCCACGAGUGCUCUGUCGUUUGUAUGAUUAAGUUUGGCAUUCAUACCGCUAAGUAAGUUAUUCAUUGGGCUCGGUGUUAGGCCAUAUGUAUUGUUGGACCUGGGCAUUGGAUUCAGGAAGAUUCUACUGUCCUACUUCUUUAACUUGCUCUACUUCUGCACGCGAAGAUUCUACUGUCCUCAUGAGCCUGAGACUUGAGUCUGUUGGUUGGUGAGGCAGUUGAAGGCCCAUAAACUCACUAGAUUAUUUUAUGGCAGGCUUGUACUUGUUUUAGUUUGUAUGUUGUCAUCUUUGAGUUUGUAUUACUCCAUUUUUGUCCUGUAACUUGUAAUAACGAAUAAUUGGGUUGUUAGUAAAAUGGAAAAUGGGUGUGCUUUGUUAUUGCAUAAAGGGUAGAGAACAUAUUUAUCAGGUCUACAUGCUUUAUUUGUUAUCUUCUUUAACUUGCUCUACUUCUGCACGCUAGUAUAAAUCAUGUCUCUAGGAAUUGAUCACACCUCACCUAAUUUGACCAAUACUGG
RNAcentral lists this long non-coding RNA (828 nucleotides) under Nicotiana benthamiana. RNAcentral describes it as "long non-coding RNA (NBEN_LNC009004)". The record is from RNAcentral. Lineage: Eukaryota; Viridiplantae; Streptophyta; Magnoliopsida; Solanales; Solanaceae.